This 496-nucleotide ribosomal RNA is filed under the name uncultured bacterium. RNAcentral's name for it is "partial 16S ribosomal RNA". It matches the Rfam family "Bacterial small subunit ribosomal RNA", at positions 29 to 507 of the family's 1533-position model. The record is from RNAcentral.
AUGAACGCUGGCGGCGUGCCUAAUACAUGCAAGUCGAGCGAACAGACGAGGAGCUUGCUCCUCUGACGUUAGCGGCGGACGGGUGAGUAACACGUGGAUAACCUACCUAUAAGACUGGGAUAACUUCGGGAAACCGGAGCUAAUACCGGAUAAUAUAUUGAACCGCAUGGUUCAAUAGUGAAAGACGGUUUUGCUGCCACUUAUAGAUGGAUCCGCGCCGCAUUAGCUAGUUGGUAAGGUAACGGCUUACCAAGGCGACGAUGCGUAGCCGACCUGAGAGGGUGAUCGGCCACACUGGAACUGAGACACGGUCCAGGCUCCUACGGGAGGCAGCAGUAGGGAAUCUUCCGCAAUGGGCGAAAGCCUGACGGAGCAACGCCGCGUGAGUGAUGAAGGUCUUCGGAUCGUAAAACUCUGUUAUUAGGGAAGAACAAAUGUGUAAGUAACUAUGCACGUCUUGACGGUACCUAAUCAGAAAGCCACGGCUAACUACGUG